Molecule: long non-coding RNA, 433 nt
Organism: Anneissia japonica
Lineage: Eukaryota; Metazoa; Echinodermata; Crinoidea; Comatulida; Comatulidae
Exons: 3
Source: RefSeq, a predicted model, not a curated record
UUACAAUUUUAUGAAACAGAUUUAUUCCACAAUUAACGAAAUAAAUGUUAUAACAAUUAUUAUAACUUACAAAUUUCACUUGUGGGAAUUGGCAUUAUGUCGCUCAGUACUCAGCUGUAUUGUGUUUUGUGGUGUGAAAGCGUGAACAAGAAGAAUUGAAGUCUAGCUGUGUCAAAAAAAAUAUGGAGGGUGGCAGAGGUCGUGGAAGAGGGGUUACGAUAAGUGCUUCAACUUAUCCCAGUUCAAUCUCUCCACCUCCAACCAAAAGCACAAAUGUUAUUAAAGGACUUGGAAGAGGCAGCAUUGGCAACCAAUGUGAGAACCUACCAAACACAGCCUCAAGCACUGCAACUGACAGUCAUGACAUUAAAAAACCAUAUCAUGGAGAGUUCAGAAGAAUACCACAUUCAGUAGGUACACCAGAGGCAUACAA